CACGUACUGGGCGAACGUUAUUCGGAAUCACUGGGCUUACAGGGUGCGUAGGCGGCUCAUCAGGUUCGGUGUGAAAGGCCCCGGCUCAACCGGGGCAUGGCGCUGAAAACCGUUGGGCUUGAGUCAGCUAGGGGUCCGCGGAACUUCCGGUGGAGCGGUGAAAUGUGUUGAUAUCGGAAGGAACGCCGGUGGCGAAAGCGGCGGACUGGGGCUCGACUGACGCUGAGGCACGAAAGCCAGGGGAGCGAACGGG
This 253-nucleotide unclassified non-coding RNA is filed under the name uncultured Planctomycetales bacterium. Its description in RNAcentral is "contains 16S-23S intergenic spacer region". It matches the Rfam family "Bacterial small subunit ribosomal RNA", at positions 524 to 776 of the family's 1533-position model. The record is from RNAcentral. Lineage: Bacteria; Pseudomonadati; Planctomycetota; Planctomycetia; Planctomycetales.